CCCAUCAUCACUUAGGGGCAGGUGCCUGCUGAAGAGGGCUGCUGAAGGGGGCUGUGUGCUGCAUGUGUGCAUGUGCUCGAGUGGGUGUUAGGUGGAAAAAAACCAGUUAGCUCACAUAGCCACCCCACAGUUGGGCCUGGAGCAUUUGCAGGACGUGUGCAUGACUAGGAGGGAUGGAACAGACAACACAGGCCCAGGGUGGGGGCCAUACUGCAGGCAGGCAGAAAACCCUGACCUAGAGCACAGCAUGUGGUGACAGCUUCUGCUGUCCUUACUCUGUCCUGUUGGUGGCUUCAUUGGGGAAGGAUGGCUGUCUGGCACCUGUUUGUCAUGGUGGCUUUGCAGAGGUUGAGGAGGGAGGUGUGGAGAUUACAUCAGGUUCCCCCUCUUAUUCUUGAGCUCAGUGUAGACCCCGCUGGCUGUGGUACUCUUGUGUGCUGCACCCUGACCCCACCUACUGCUUGCACCAGAUGAGCUCCUGGGCUCUCAGCGUCAGAUUCAGGGUUGGUUUCCCAGGAUGCUUGCUCCUUAGCUGCUGGGAAUCCGACCUCACUGCUGUGCGUGGCACUGGGCGCUGAGUGGAUCAGACUAGCACAGUGAUGCGAUUGCUUUAAUCUGCACACCCCGCCCCCUCCAUAGCCCAGGUGCAGGGUUUGUAAGACGUCACACUCAUGAGUUACAAGGUGAGGUUUCUGAUUGGAACCCAGCAGGGUCGGGCACGGGCCUGGUCACGCUGCAGGCGCAGCUACACCUGCAGAAGCAGCGCCACGGCUGCCAGGAUCCACUUGGCCGCCUUCUCUUUGGUCUUCAGGUUAAAAGUCCAGACAUAGGUGGGUCCUCGGAUACGUGUCUUGUACACGGGGCAUUCAUAGAUGUUCUUGGUCUCCAUUCGGUCCACAGGAAUGGCCUUGAUGAAGAUGACGGGCAUGACUGGGGUCAGAUCCUUCAGCUUUGCUUCAGCAAUGACUCCGGUCUGGGUGUCCCAGCGAGCUCCUGUGGGGACAAUGGAGCUGAGGGUCUGGGUGCCCCAGGGGAGGCAGAACCCACUGUUUGGAGUGCUGACUGUGAAAAAGGGAGGCACGGUAGGGAGAGAGGCCUGGCCUCCAACCUCCCCACUCUUUUCAGAGACAGGCCAGUGACUGGGAGCCCUGAAGAGUUCAGGCCAGGUGCCAGGGCCUGAGAGUGCCAAACACAGAGGAGUGUGGACCGAGGACUCCGAAGUGACUCGCAUGCCGUAACGGUUCUGAGGCUGCAUCUUCUCAGAGCUUCAUCUCCGCCUUCUCAAUGUCAGUGGCAGAGAAAACUGACCGCAGCCUAAUUCCAGCAGUGUACCCUCCUGAUUCUUCAUGUGUAAUGUCUACUCUGUGUGUGUACAUAGGGAUAAGUUAUAUAUAUGCACCUAUAAACACUGUCUGCUGUCUCUCAUCCUAGCCAGUGGUGGUGUGUGUCCUGCGUGGCAUUGGAAUCACAAUAAACAUGGAGAAUGGU
This 1488-nucleotide long non-coding RNA is filed under the name Rattus norvegicus (Norway rat). Its description in RNAcentral is "long non-coding RNA NONRATT005118". Lineage: Eukaryota; Metazoa; Chordata; Mammalia; Rodentia; Muridae. The record is from RNAcentral.